UAGGGAAUCUUCCGCAAUGGACGCAAGUCUGAAGGAGCAACGCCGCGUGAGUGAAGAAGGAUUUCGGUUCGUAAAACUCUGUUGUUAGAGAAGAACAGCGCAUAGAGUAACUGUUAUGCGUGUGACGGUAUCUAACCAGAAAGCCACGGCUAACUACGUGCCAGCAGCCGCGGUAAUACGUAGGUGGCAAGCGUUGUCCGGAUUUAUUGGGCGUAAAGCGAGCGCAGGCGGUCAAUUAAGUCUGAUGUGAAAGCCCCCGGCUCAACCGGGGAGGGUCAUUGGAAACUGGUUGACUUGAGUGCAGAGGAGGGGGGUGGAAUUCCAUGUGUAGCGGUGAAAUGCGUAGAUAUAUGGAGGAACACCAGUGGCGAAGGCGACUCUCUGGUCUGUAACUGACGCGGAGGGUCGAAAGCGUGGGUAGCAACCAGG
RNAcentral lists this ribosomal RNA (429 nucleotides) under Bacteroidota bacterium. Its description in RNAcentral is "Bacteroidetes bacterium partial 16S ribosomal RNA". It matches the Rfam family "Bacterial small subunit ribosomal RNA", at positions 355 to 776 of the family's 1533-position model. Lineage: Bacteria; Pseudomonadati; Bacteroidota. The record is from RNAcentral.